RNAcentral lists this long non-coding RNA (331 nucleotides) under Linum usitatissimum (flax). Its description in RNAcentral is "long non-coding RNA (LUSI_LNC001110)". Lineage: Eukaryota; Viridiplantae; Streptophyta; Magnoliopsida; Malpighiales; Linaceae. The record is from RNAcentral.
CGGCGAGCCGUGGGAGAAGCGGUAAAGGGCGGCGGCGAGGGCAACAUCGGGAGGGAGCGAAGGCGGGAGCUUCGACUGUAGCGAAGGAGCUAGGAGGUCUAGCAGAUUGAGAAACGUAGGCUUCUCCAUCCGGAAGAGCUGGAACCACAGCGGACCUAGGGAAUCUGAGGCUCCGUCGACGGUAGCAGAGGAGCGGGAAUUGAGGUGAUGGUAAAUGGAUGGAGAAGGCAGGAAGGGGAUCUGCAGAGGGAGGGAAUCGAGGAGACGUUGGAGUGAGAGAAGCUGGUAAGCGGGCAGAUCAGCAGCGUUGGCGGAAACGAAGCCUUGUGCC